This 377-nucleotide long non-coding RNA is filed under the name Pan troglodytes (chimpanzee). RNAcentral's name for it is "long non-coding RNA NONPTRT013462". Lineage: Eukaryota; Metazoa; Chordata; Mammalia; Primates; Hominidae. The record is from RNAcentral.
CACCGCCUGUGAAUCAGUACUCACAGCAUUCGACAUUGCUACACAAAUUGAGUCAUGCAGCCCAGCAGCCACCGAGUGCCUACUGAAUUUCCUGUCACCCAGAGCCUGAAUUUCCUGGGGCAUAACGUUUUAAAAAUAUUAUUGUUUUUUUAAACCCUGGCACUGAACCAGUUUUUAUUCUUCAUCUUGACUUAAUGCCUCUCCAUUCUCUUCUCUCAUCUUCUUCUCCUGGCUCCACUCACCUCCUCUGUAGCCAGGAGCCCACAGUUGGCUAUUUCGGCCGUGUGUCCAGAGUCUGGAAUCCCUCGUCCCCUUGGGCUUCCACUGUGGCCAGUUAGCUUGCCCAUCCUCAGCCUCGGCACCCUCCUUGUUUGUCC